This 497-nucleotide ribosomal RNA is filed under the name uncultured bacterium. RNAcentral describes it as "partial 16S ribosomal RNA". It matches the Rfam family "Bacterial small subunit ribosomal RNA", at positions 28 to 507 of the family's 1533-position model. The record is from RNAcentral.
GAUGAACGCUGGCGGCGUGCCUAAUACAUGCAAGUCGAGCGAACGGACGAGAAGCUUGCUUCUCUGAUGUUAGCGGCAGACGGGUGAGUAACACGUGGAUAACCUACCUAUAAGACUGGGAUAACUUCGGGAAACCGGAGCUAAUACCGGAUGAUAUUUUGAACCGCAUGGUUCAAAAGUGAAAGACGGUUUUGCUGUCACUUAUAGAUGGAUCCGCGCUGCAUUAGCUAGUUGGUAAGGUAACGGCUUACCAAGGCAACGAUGCAUAGCCGACCUGGGAGGGUGAUUGGGCACACUGGGACAUAGGCCACGGCCCCACACCCUAGGGGGGGCACAGAGGGGAAAUUUGCGGCAUGGGGGGAAAGCUUAUCGGGCCAAGGCGGGGGGGGGAAGAAGGUGCUCCGAUUGGAAAAACCUUUUUUUUGGGGGAAAAAAAAGGUGGAAAAAACGGGGCAAAUUUGACGGGACCCAAAGAAGAAGCCCCGGCUAAACUCGGG